AAUGGCCUUUUGGCUGAACCAGUAACUUAGAGGAAUCUAAUUCGGUUUUAAAAUUUAUAAAUUCUAGGCAUCAAAGAAUGAUGACUAUUUUUGUCUAUAAGUAUUGACCAAAUUACGUGCCAGCCGUCGCGGUAAUACGUAAAAUACAAGUGUUAUUCGUCUUUAAUGGGUUUAAAGGGUACCUAGACAGAAAAUAAAGCCAUAAUAGGGACUAAUUUUCUAGAGUUUUAUAAGAGAAAAUAGAAUUAUUAGAAGAGAGAUGAAAUUCGGUGAUACUAAUAAGACUGGUAACAGCGAAGGCAAUUUUCUAUGUAAAAACUGACGUUGAGGGACGAAGCCUAGGGUAACGAUAAGGAUUAGAUACCCUAAUAGUCCUAGGAGAAAAUUAUGAAUGCCAUAGGCUAGAUAAUUUGGCUUAUAAAUGAAAGUGCAAGCAUUCCACCUUACAAGUAAAGCGGCAACGCCGAAACUGAAAUCAUUAGACCGUUACUGAAAACAGUAGUGAAGUAUGUUAUUUAAUUCGAUAAUCCGCGAAUAACCUUACCACAAUUUGAAUAUUAUUACAAGCGUUGCACGGCUGUCUUCAGCUUAUGUCGUGAGCUUAUGGUUAGAUCCAUUAAUAAGCGUAAACCCUUGCUUUAUUUAAUAAGAGAACACUAUUUAUUUUUAUAAAGCAUUUUCACUAAUAUACAUAUAUAUAUUGGUAAAAUAGUAGGGAAUAAGACAAGUCAUCAUGGCCUUAAUAUUGU
This 749-nucleotide ribosomal RNA is filed under the name Serusiauxia inexpectata. Its description in RNAcentral is "SSU rRNA". It matches the Rfam family "Bacterial small subunit ribosomal RNA", at positions 370 to 1210 of the family's 1533-position model. Lineage: Eukaryota; Fungi; Ascomycota; Eurotiomycetes; Pyrenulales; Pyrenulaceae. The record is from RNAcentral.